UACGUAGGGUGCGAGCGUUGCCCGGAUUUAUUGGGCGUAAAGGGCGCGUAGGCGGCCACGCACGUCCGUUGUGAAAUACGCCCGGCUCAACCUGGGCGGGGUCAGCGGAUACGGUGUGGGCUCGAGCAAGCUAGGGGGCAAGUGGAAUUCCCGGUGUGAGUGGUGGGAAUGCGUAGAUAUCAGGAGGAACACCAGUGGCGAAGGCGGCUACCUGGACCGGUUCUGACGUCUGAUGCGCGAAAGCGGUGGGAUAG
This 254-nucleotide ribosomal RNA is filed under the name uncultured bacterium. RNAcentral describes it as "partial 16S ribosomal RNA". It matches the Rfam family "Bacterial small subunit ribosomal RNA", at positions 524 to 770 of the family's 1533-position model. The record is from RNAcentral.